UGUCCUCCGUGGUGAUGACAAUGUUGGCUUGAUGAUUUAUUCUUGGUUGUGGACACUGGUUUGAUUUGUAUCCUAGUUGUCUGUAUCUAUAACAGAUAGCUGGCAUAGAUCGUGCAUAAGGAUUUUGAGCAAUUGGCUUAGCCUUGCUUGUUCCCUCAUCUCUCCUUUGGAUUUGGUCAGAAUGAACGACUCCAAAGGAUACUCACUCCACUAUGGAGUCUCUGGUGGUAGUGCGGGAUAGUUACUCCUUGAUACAUCUAGCAACAUGAAUAACAUUAUGCAUCCUAACAAUAGAUUGCAGUUGCACCUGAUCUUGGAUGGUUGUCGGAUUCCAGUAAUAAAACGAGUGACUUUUCGAGACUUGAUCUCAUAUAGUUGAUUGUGGGCACCAAGUCGUUGAAACUCCGAAACAUACUCACCCACAGAUUGAUUUUUUUGAUGACAAUUAUGAUAUUAUUGAUAUAGAAACUGAUCAUAAUUAAUCUGAUGGAAGAAACUCGACCUCGAUCAUCCUUUGCAUCUUGCCCAAGUUGCAACUGGUGGUUUGAGCAAAUGACGUCGAGUGCAACGAACUUCUCCCAAGCAAGCUGCUGCACC
This 597-nucleotide long non-coding RNA is filed under the name Elaeis guineensis (African oil palm). RNAcentral describes it as "long non-coding RNA (EGUI_LNC005695)". The record is from RNAcentral. Lineage: Eukaryota; Viridiplantae; Streptophyta; Magnoliopsida; Arecales; Arecaceae.